This 759-nucleotide ribosomal RNA is filed under the name Triticum aestivum (bread wheat). RNAcentral's name for it is "partial small subunit ribosomal RNA". The record is from RNAcentral. Lineage: Eukaryota; Viridiplantae; Streptophyta; Magnoliopsida; Poales; Poaceae.
AUGUGCAGAGGGACGGUGGACGACCUCCGCCCGCUCGGGCCCCGGCGGCUCGACGUGCGCGCCUUCUACCUCCGCCUCUCCUCCUCCUCCUCCCACGCAUCCACGUCGCCGCUGCCCGCGGAGCUCACGCUCGUCUACCUCCCGGCCAUCGGCGGCGCCGCGCUGGAGCUGGCCGGCCGCGUGCUCCCGCCGGCGUGCCCCGCCGAGGCCAACCUCCUGCGCGUCCGCGGCGUGGCCGACGACGCGCCGGCGUACGCGAGCGCCGACCGCGUCUCGGCCCCCGAGGGCGCGCGCUUCGAGGUGUACGCCGGGAAGGAGCUCGCGGCGGAGGGCGCCUUCUUCGCGCGGCGCCGGCUCGACGGAGGAGGGUGGCGCGUCGAGUGCCGCCGGCCGGCCGGGUCGCGCUCGCACACGCGGGUGGCGGAGGUGCUGGUCCUCGCGGAGGGCGGCGUGCUCAUAAGGGCCAGGGCUAGGGCGGCGAGGCGGGCCCGGUGCGCGACGCCGCUCGAGGGGAUACCGGAGGAGGAGGAUGCGUCCUCGUGGGGGUCGUGCGAGUGCGGUGGGGCUUGCGGGGACGAGUGGCAGAUGGUCGGAGACAGCAGCAGCGAUGAUGACGACGGCGACGAGUCGAAGGAGGAGGAGGUGGAGGCCGAGACGAUGCGGUGGGCGCUGGAGAUGGGCGCCUGGGCGGUGUGCGUCGGGGUCGGCCUGCUCGCCACCGCCCGCCGGUUCAGCCGGAGGAGGGCCGCGCUCCGGUGA